GGGCAAGUGGCGGAACUGGUAGACGCGCAGGUCUCAAAAACCUGUCCCGGUCACGGGGUGUGGGUUCAAAUCCCUCCUUGCCCA
RNAcentral lists this transfer RNA (84 nucleotides) under Elusimicrobiota bacterium. RNAcentral describes it as "Elusimicrobia bacterium (anaerobic digester metagenome) tRNA-Leu". It matches the Rfam family "tRNA". Rfam says of the family: Transfer RNA (tRNA) molecules are approximately 80 nucleotides in length. Their secondary structure includes four short double-helical elements and three loops (D, anti-codon, and T loops). Further hydrogen bonds mediate the characteristic L-shaped molecular structure. tRNAs have two regions of fundamental functional importance: the anti-codon, which is responsible for specific mRNA codon recognition, and the 3' end, to which the tRNAs corresponding amino acid is attached (by aminoacyl-tRNA synthetases). tRNAs cope with the degeneracy of the genetic code in two manners: having more than one tRNA (with a specific anti-codon) for a particular amino acid; and 'wobble' base-pairing, i.e. permitting non-standard base-pairing at the 3rd anti-codon position. The record is from RNAcentral. Lineage: Bacteria; Pseudomonadati; Elusimicrobiota. RNAcentral also lists the same sequence under 1 other name.